RNAcentral lists this ribosomal RNA (497 nucleotides) under uncultured bacterium. Its description in RNAcentral is "partial 16S ribosomal RNA". It matches the Rfam family "Bacterial small subunit ribosomal RNA", at positions 28 to 507 of the family's 1533-position model. The record is from RNAcentral.
GAUGAACGCUGGCGGCGUGCCUAAUACAUGCAAGUCGAGCGAACAGACGAGGAGCUUGCUCCUCUGACGUUAGCGGCGGACGGGUGAGUAACACGUGGAUAACCUACCUAUAAGACUGGGAUAACUUCGGGAAACCGGAGCUAAUACCGGAUAAUAUAUUGAACCGCAUGGUUCAAUAGUGAAAGACGGUUUUGCUGUCACUUAUAGAUGGAUCCGCGCCGCAUUAGCUAGUUGGUAAGGUAACGGCUUACCAAGGCAACGAUGCGUAGCCGACCUGAGAGGGGGAUCGGCCACACUGGAACUGAGACACGGACCAGACUCCUACGAGAGGCAGCAGUAGGGAACCUUCCGCAAUGGGCGAAAGCCUGACGGAGCAGCGCCGCGUGAGUGAUGACGGCGUUCGGAGCGUAAAACUCGGUUACUAGGGAAGAACAAAUGUGUAAGUAACUAUGCACGUCUUGACGGUACCUAAUCAGAAAGCCACGGCUAACUACGUG